Molecule: unclassified non-coding RNA, 562 nt
Filed under: Hevea brasiliensis (rubber tree)
Lineage: Eukaryota; Viridiplantae; Streptophyta; Magnoliopsida; Malpighiales; Euphorbiaceae
Source: RNAcentral
GCUAUAUAUACUAGUCACAGAUUGUAGCUAAAUACACGCAGAAAAAAAGGGUCCUGUAGUUUUAGUAUAAAUAUGAUAGCAGCAUAAUGCAUGCUGCAUCAAAAAGUAACUGUGAAAAUGGAUGUCCUAUGUACUCCAAUUAUUCGAAGAGGUUAUAGAUGUAGCAGCAAUUAUUCUGAAACUCCAAGGAACUGAGCAAAGCUUGGAUAUUUGGGCUCCCAUCCUAGUUCAGCACGAGUCUUUGAGUUGUUUAACUUCUUCCCUAAAGGAUCACUAGUUCCUGUGAAACCCUCAAAUUUCUUAUCAAACUUGCCACUUUUCUCGACUAAGUCCAUCACCUCCUGCCUGGAUACAGGGUGGUUGUCACAGCCCAAAAAGAUCCGACCACGAAGUCUCUUCUUCAAGAUGGUAACUGACAAUGAAGCUGCAUCCUCAUAAUGAAUAAGAUUGAGGAUGUGGUCAGGGCGAAUAUCACAGCUCCCUUUAUGUAACCAGUAUAUAUGUGCACCUCUAUCUGCUUUAUAAAGGCCAGCCAAUCUAACUACACAGCCAUCAAAGUCCA